This 744-nucleotide ribosomal RNA is filed under the name uncultured bacterium. RNAcentral's name for it is "bacterial SSU rRNA". It matches the Rfam family "Bacterial small subunit ribosomal RNA", at positions 8 to 796 of the family's 1533-position model. The record is from RNAcentral.
AGAGUUUGAUCAUGGCUCAGAGCGAACGCUGGCGGCAGGCUUAACACAUGCAAGUCGAGCGGACGUAGCAAUACGUCAGCGGCAGACGGGUGAGUAACGCGUGGGAACGUACCUUUUGGUUCGGAACAACCCAGGGAAACUUGGGCUAAUACCGGAUAAGCCCUAACGGGGAAAGAUUUAUCGCCGAAAGAUCGGCCCGCGUCUGAUUAGCUAGUUGGUGAGGUAAUGGCUCACCAAGGCGACGAUCAGUAGCUGGUCUGAGAGGAUGAUCAGCCACAUUGGGACUGAGACACGGCCCAAACUCCUACGGGAGGCAGCAGUGGGGAAUAUUGGACAAUGGGCGCAAGCCUGAUCCAGCCAUGCCGCGUGAGUGAUGAAGGCCCUAGGGUUGUAAAGCUCUUUUGUGCGGGAAGAUAAUGACGGUACCGCAAGAAUAAGCCCCGGCUAACUUCGUGCCAGCAGCCGCGGUAAUACGAAGGGGGCUAGCGUUGCUCGGAAUCACUGGGCGUAAAGGGUGCGUAGGCGGGUCUUUAAGUCAGGGGUGAAAUCCUGGAGCUCAACUCCAGAACUGCCUUUGAUACUGAGGAUCUUGAGUUCGGGAGAGGUGAGUGGAACUGCGAGUGUAGAGGUGAAAUUCGUAGAUAUUCGCAAGAACACCAGUGGCGAAGGCGGCUCACUGGCCCGAUACUGACGCUGAGGCACGAAAGCGUGGGGAGCAAACAGGAUUAGAUACCCCAGUAGUCC